RNAcentral lists this ribosomal RNA (493 nucleotides) under uncultured bacterium. RNAcentral's name for it is "partial 16S ribosomal RNA". It matches the Rfam family "Bacterial small subunit ribosomal RNA", at positions 29 to 523 of the family's 1533-position model. The record is from RNAcentral.
AUUGAACGCUGGCGGCAUGCUUUACACAUGCAAGUCGAACGGUAACAGGUUAAGCUGACGAGUGGCGAACGGGUGAGUAAUGCAUCGGAACGUGCCCGAUCGUGGGGGAUAACGCAGCGAAAGCUGCGCUAAUACCGCAUACGAUCUGAGGAUAAAAGCGGGGGACCGUAAGGCCUCGCGCGAUCGGAGCGGCCGAUGUCAGAUUAGGUAGUUGGUGGGGUAAAGGCCCACCAAGCCGACGAUCUGUAGCUGGUCUGAGAGGACGACCAGCCACACUGGGACUGAGACACGGCCCAGACUCCUACGGGAGGCAGCAGUGGGGAAUGUUGGACAAUGGGCGAAAGCCUGAUCCAGCAAUGCCGCGUGCAGGAAGAAGGCCUUCGGGUUGUAAACUGCUUUUGUACGGAGCGAAAAGGUCCUUUCUAAUACAAGGGGCUCAUGACGGUACCGUAAGAAUAAGCACCGGCUAACUACGUGCCAGCCGCCGCAGUAA